This 253-nucleotide ribosomal RNA is filed under the name uncultured bacterium. RNAcentral's name for it is "partial 16S ribosomal RNA". It matches the Rfam family "Bacterial small subunit ribosomal RNA", at positions 524 to 776 of the family's 1533-position model. The record is from RNAcentral.
UACGUAGGGUGCAAGCGUUGUCCGGAAUUAUUGGGCGUAAAGAGCUCGUAGGCGGUUUGUUGCGUCGGCUGUGAAAUCCCGAGGCUCAACCUCGGGUCUGCAGUCGAUACGAGCAAACUAGAGUGUUGCAGGGGAGACUGGAAUUCCUGGUGUAGCGGUGAAAUGCGUAGAGAUCUGGAGGAACACCGAUGGCGAAGGCAGCCCCCUGGGCUAACACUGACGCUCAUGCACGAAAGCGUGGGGAGCAAACAGG